This 467-nucleotide ribosomal RNA is filed under the name uncultured bacterium. Its description in RNAcentral is "bacterial SSU rRNA". It matches the Rfam family "Bacterial small subunit ribosomal RNA", at positions 337 to 796 of the family's 1533-position model. The record is from RNAcentral.
GCCUACGGGAGGCUGCAGUGGGGAAUAUUGGACAAUGGGCGCAAGCCUGAUCCAGCCAUGCCGCGUGUGUGAAGAAGGCCUUCGGGUUGUAAAGCACUUUUGUCCGGGAAGAAAACCCUGGGGCUAAUACCCACGGGGAAUGACGGUACCGGAAGAAUAAGCACCGGCUAACUUCGUGCCAGCAGCCGCGGUAAUACGAAGGGUGCAAGCGUUACUCGGAAUUACUGGGCGUAAAGCGUGCGUAGGCGGUUUGUUAAGUCAGAUGUGAAAGCCACGGGCUCAACCUGGGAACUGCCGUUGAUACUGGCGAGCUAGAGUACGGUAGAGGGUGGUGGAAUUCCCGGUGUAGCGGUGAAAUGCGUAGAGAUCGGGAGGAACAUCUGUGGCGAAGGCGGCCACCUGGACCAGUACUGACGCUGAGGCACGAAAGCGUGGGGAGCAAACAGGAUUAGAUACCCGAGUAGUCU